RNAcentral lists this ribosomal RNA (253 nucleotides) under uncultured bacterium. RNAcentral's name for it is "partial 16S ribosomal RNA". It matches the Rfam family "Bacterial small subunit ribosomal RNA", at positions 524 to 776 of the family's 1533-position model. The record is from RNAcentral.
UACAGAGGGGGCAAGCGUUGUCCGGAAUUACUGGGCGUAAAGGGCGCGUAGGCGGCUUGGUAAGUCGGGGGUGAAAGUCAGCGGCUCAACCGCUGGACUGCCUUCGAGACUGCCUGGCUUGAGCAUGGUAGAGGCUGGCGGAAUUCCCGGUGUAGCGGUGGAAUGCGUAGAGAUCGGGAAGAACAUCGGUGGCGAAGGCGGCCAGCUGGGCCAUUGCUGACGCUGAGGCGCGACAGCGUGGGGAGCAAACAGG